RNAcentral lists this long non-coding RNA (789 nucleotides) under Zostera marina. RNAcentral's name for it is "long non-coding RNA (ZMAR_LNC005707)". Lineage: Eukaryota; Viridiplantae; Streptophyta; Magnoliopsida; Alismatales; Zosteraceae. The record is from RNAcentral.
CAAUCCAAUUUUGGGACAGCCUUUAGACCGUUUGAGCCCAACAAAUCGAACCUUUUAAGUCUUUUUUGCAAAAUGAAAGUGUUAUCAUCAACAAUUGAAGCCUCAAAUCAUUAUAUGAUUUUAAUUAUUAUUUAGUUUAUUCAUUUUGAUCCACAAUAAGCAAUAACCUUAUCUAGCUUUUAUUGUUAUUAAGAAUAUUACAUUAAAAACCCUCCAAAAUUAAUUAUUAUCCCAUAGAUACUUGACAUUUCAACUUCCCAAUUAAUACUGAUAUAGUCUUUGAUAAUUAACAUCUAAACCUAUCUAUAAAUAAGGAUUAAGAAUUUGAGAUUAUUCAAUUAUUCACUUUUCGAUUCAACAAUUUAUCUUCAGAUGGAAGAUUCAAACUUCCUCCAAAUUCUCAUUAAUCUGAAUUAAAUCAUGCAAUCCUUCAACUGCCCUAGUGUCUGGAUCAUUGUCAUCAUCUGCAUUUGAAACAUCACGAUGAGAAUCAACAUCAUGAGAAACAUUAAAGAAAACCAAAUAAACUUCUGUAAAAAACUCACGACCAGCAGACAAGACCUGAUGUCAAAAAUUGAGAAGGAGUGAUUUGCCGACGAACAGAGGAGCAACAAAACCAGAGAAGACGAGAGUCGGCGAAACCCUAUAUCGUGAGAGCAGAAUGAAGAAUCGUAAAUGAGAAAACUUUAAAGAAAAAUGAACUGAAAAUACCUGUGAGUGGAAUACCCAAUUAAUUCUGACAGCUUGCCUUAUAUAAUACAUUGGCUGGAUAAUUAAUCGGAUAUCUUG